This 27-nucleotide non-coding RNA is filed under the name Homo sapiens (human). The record is from RNAcentral. Lineage: Eukaryota; Metazoa; Chordata; Mammalia; Primates; Hominidae.
UGCCAUGCUGACAACCUAACCGCUGUC